GAUGAACGCUGGCGGCGUGCCUAAUACAUGCAAGUCGAGCGAACAGACGAGGAGCUUGCUCCUCUGACGUUAGCGGCGGACGGGUGAGUAACACGUGGAUAACCUACCUAUAAGACUGGGAUAACUUCGGGAAACCGGAGCUAAUACCGGAUAAUAUAUUGAACCGCAUGGUUCAAUAGUGAAAGACGGUUUUGCUGUCACUUAUAGAUGGAUCCGCGCCGCAUUAGCUAGUUGGUAAGGUAACAGCUUACCAAGGCAACGAUGCGUAGCCGACCGGAGAGGGUGAUCGGCCACACUGGAACUGAGACACGGUCCAGGCUCCUACGGGAGGCAGCAGUAGGGAAUCUUCCGCAAUGGGCGAAAGCCUGGCGGAGCAACGCCGCGUGAGUGAUGAAGGUCUUCGGAUCGUAAAGCUCUGUUAUUAGGGAAGAACAAAUGUGUAAGUAACUAUGCACGUCUUGACGGUACCUAAUCAGAAAGCCACGGCUAGCUACGUG
Molecule: ribosomal RNA, 497 nt
Filed under: uncultured bacterium
Lineage: Bacteria
Description: partial 16S ribosomal RNA
Rfam family: Bacterial small subunit ribosomal RNA
Source: RNAcentral